RNAcentral lists this ribosomal RNA (1597 nucleotides) under Salmonella enterica. RNAcentral describes it as "partial 23S ribosomal RNA". It matches the Rfam family "Bacterial large subunit ribosomal RNA", at positions 1350 to 2925 of the family's 2925-position model. Lineage: Bacteria; Pseudomonadati; Pseudomonadota; Gammaproteobacteria; Enterobacterales; Enterobacteriaceae. The record is from RNAcentral.
GGUUCCUGUCCAACGUUAAUCGGGGCAGGGUGAGUCGACCCCUAAGGCGAGGCCGAAAGGCGUAGUCGAUGGGAAACGGGUUAAUAUUCCCGUACUUGGUGUUACUGCGAAGGGGGGACGGAGAAGGCUAUGUUGGCCGGGCGACGGUUGUCCCGGUUUAAGCGUGUAGGUGUGUGUUCCAGGUAAAUCCGGUUCACUUUAACACUGAGGCGUGAUGACGAGGCACUACGGUGCUGAAGCAACAAAUGCCCUGCUUCCAGGAAAAGCCUCUAAGCAUCAGGUAACAUCAAAUCGUACCCCAAACCGACACAGGUGGUCAGGUAGAGAAUACCAAGGCGCUUGAGAGAACUCGGGUGAAGGAACUAGGCAAAAUGGUGCCGUAACUUCGGGAGAAGGCACGCUGACACGUAGGUGAAGUGAUUUACUCAUGGAGCUGAAGUCAGUCGAAGAUACCAGCUGGCUGCAACUGUUUAUUAAAAACACAGCACUGUGCAAACACGAAAGUGGACGUAUACGGUGUGACGCCUGCCCGGUGCCGGAAGGUUAAUUGAUGGGGUCAGCGCAAGCGAAGCUCCUGAUCGAAGCCCCGGUAAACGGCGGCCGUAACUAUAACGGUCCUAAGGUAGCGAAAUUCCUUGUCGGGUAAGUUCCGACCUGCACGAAUGGCGUAAUGAUGGCCAGGCUGUCUCCACCCGAGACUCAGUGAAAUUGAACUCGCUGUGAAGAUGCAGUGUACCCGCGGCAAGACGGAAAGACCCCGUGAACCUUUACUAUAGCUUGACACUGAACAUUGAGCCUUGAUGUGUAGGAUAGGUGGGAGGCUUUGAAGUGUGGACGCCAGUCUGCAUGGAGCCGGCCUUGAAAUACCACCCUUUAAUGUUUGAUGUUCUAACGUGGACCCGUGAUCCGGGUUGCGGACAGUGUCUGGUGGGUAGUUUGACUGGGGCGGUCUCCUCCUAAAGAGUAACGGAGGAGCACGAAGGUUGGCUAAUCCUGGUCGGACAUCAGGAGGUUAGUGCAAUGGCAUAAGCCAGCUUGACUGCGAGCGUGACGGCGCGAGCAGGUGCGAAAGCAGGUCAUAGUGAUCCGGUGGUUCUGAAUGGAAGGGCCAUCGCUCAACGGAUAAAAGGUACUCCGGGGAUAACAGGCUGAUACCGCCCAAGAGUUCAUAUCGACGGCGGUGUUUGGCACCUCGAUGUCGGCUCAUCACAUCCUGGGGCUGAAGUAGGUCCCAAGGGUAUGGCUGUUCGCCAUUUAAAGUGGUACGCGAGCUGGGUUUAGAACGUCGUGAGACAGUUCGGUCCCUAUCUGCCGUGGGCGCUGGAGAACUGAGGGGGGCUGCUCCUAGUACGAGAGGACCGGAGUGGACGCAUCACUGGUGUUCGGGUUGUCAUGCCAAUGGCACUGCCCGGUAGCUAAAUGCGGAAGAGAUAAGUGCUGAAAGCAUCUAAGCACGAAACUUGCCCCGAGAUGAGUUCUCCCUGAGACUUUAGGUCUCCUGAAGGAACGUUGAAGACGACGACGUUGAUAGGCCGGGUGUGUAAGCGCAGCGAUGCGUUGAGCUAACCGGUACUAAUGAACCGUGAGGCUUAACCUU